GCAGGACUCCUGAUUAAGAGUAACUGAAGAAGAACUGUUCAUGUCGAGUUAAAGUGGAAAAAAAAAAAAAAAAAGAAAUUAAAAUAUUCAAGUAAAACUUUUUUUUAAAAAACUAAUUCACAUAGUCAAUUUUUUUUUGUUUACUAUGCAUGUUCUCUUUUGCAACAUACAGGCCUGAAAUCAAGUUUCUCAUCAAGGAGGAAGAGGAGGAGAAACCUGCCUGUGAAAUUAGUGUGUAUGAGGAGAGAGAGGAGGAGAAACCUGCCUGUAAAAUUGAGAGUUUAUGAUGAGAGAGCAAGAUGCUUCUGUUGGCACUCAGAGAGCAGCAUCUCCGGGAUGCAGCUGUGUGUUUCUAUGAAGAGUAACAAAUCCAUGAAUGAUAUUCCUCCUGGUCUCAGUGAUGAACCUGCUGUGAACUCUGAACCUGUGUUCAUGGUGAGAAUCAGUCCUGACAACAGCGAGUGCUCCUCAAAGGUCCAGAUCAGCAGAAGAAGUGGGAAG
RNAcentral lists this long non-coding RNA (501 nucleotides) under Sinocyclocheilus anshuiensis. RNAcentral describes it as "lncRNA (ENSSANG00000015082.1)". The record is from RNAcentral. Lineage: Eukaryota; Metazoa; Chordata; Actinopteri; Cypriniformes; Cyprinidae.